Non-coding RNA from Mycena sp. CBHHK59/15, 84 nucleotides. The record is from the annotation of a GenBank genome assembly. Lineage: Eukaryota; Fungi; Basidiomycota; Agaricomycetes; Agaricales; Mycenaceae.
GGGUCCGUGGCGUAGUGGUUAUCGCGUUUGUCUUACAAUUUAUUGGUGCACAAAAGGUCCCCAGUUCGAUCCUGGGUGGGCUCA